GGCUGUUUCCUUUCCCCACAAUGAAGUACAUGUACGAUCACUACAUUUACAUAUUUAAUAACUAAAAACUAAUAGCAAGGUGAUUAUAUGAUAUUUUGAUAACAAUGUAUCAUAAAAUGUUUAUAGGUUUCAUUUCUGUAAAUAUUGACAAUGCAAUAGGAACUCCUUUUACGGCUAAAUCUGUACCACUUUUACUUGCAAGUUUUGAAAAAAAU
Molecule: long non-coding RNA, 215 nt
Filed under: Mytilus galloprovincialis (Mediterranean mussel)
Lineage: Eukaryota; Metazoa; Mollusca; Bivalvia; Mytilida; Mytilidae
Source: RNAcentral